This 253-nucleotide ribosomal RNA is filed under the name uncultured bacterium. RNAcentral describes it as "partial 16S ribosomal RNA". It matches the Rfam family "Bacterial small subunit ribosomal RNA", at positions 524 to 776 of the family's 1533-position model. The record is from RNAcentral.
UACGUAGGGUGCGAGCGUUAAUCGGAAUUACUGGGCGUAAAGCGUGCGUAGGCGGUUCGUUAAGUUCGUUGUGAAAGCCCCGGGCUCAACCUGGGAACUGCAAUGGAAACUGGCGGGCUUGAGUGUGGCAGAGGGGGGUGGAAUUCCGCGUGUAGCAGUGAAAUGCGUAGAGAUUGGAAAGAACACCGAUGGCGAAGGCACUUUACUGGGCUAUUACUAACACUGAGAGACGAAAGCUAGGGUAGCAAAUGGG